Molecule: transfer RNA, 71 nt
Filed under: Elusimicrobiota bacterium
Lineage: Bacteria; Pseudomonadati; Elusimicrobiota
Description: Elusimicrobia bacterium tRNA-Glu
Rfam family: tRNA
About the family: Transfer RNA (tRNA) molecules are approximately 80 nucleotides in length. Their secondary structure includes four short double-helical elements and three loops (D, anti-codon, and T loops).
Source: RNAcentral
CGCGGUGUAGUUUAAGGGUAAAACCGCCAUCCCUCAAAUGGUUGAUGCAGGUUCGAUUCCUGCCGCCGCGG